This 5304-nucleotide long non-coding RNA is filed under the name Capsella rubella. Its description in RNAcentral is "long non-coding RNA (CRUB_LNC004464)". The record is from RNAcentral. Lineage: Eukaryota; Viridiplantae; Streptophyta; Magnoliopsida; Brassicales; Brassicaceae.
AUCAUCAUGGCUAAGUUUGCUUCCAUCAUCACCCUUAUCUUCGCUGCUCUUGUGCUCUUUGCUGCUUUUGGUGAGUAAUUAAUCAUCUUAUCAUAUCAAUGAAAAAUGUGUUUUUAGAUGAUAUUUUCAUAUAUUUCGAUAACUAACCAUGAGAAAUAAAUACAUGCAUCUGUAGAAGCACCGGCAAUGGUGGAAGCACAGAAGUUGUGCGAGAGGUCAAGUGGGACUUGGUCCGGAGUCUGCGGAAACAACAACGCUUGCAAGAAUCAGUGCAUUAACCUUGAGGGAGCAAAACAUGGAUCUUGCAAUUAUCGAUUCCCAUACCACAGAUGUAUCUGUUACUUCCCAUGUUAAUCAUAUCAACCAAAAAGUCCGUGGUGCUUAAACGUGUGUAUUUUACAUAUAUAAAAUAAGUCUGUGUCACUUAAGAGUGACUUGAUGACAUAUACAUGUGUUUAUGUUUUAAUGUUUGGUUUGGUUUGACUUUGUUGUUAUAAUGAUAUAAAUAUAAUUUAUGUACGACUGUUUCUUUCUUGUUAAUAUUUGUCUACAACAACCAACAGAACGACUGAUUUUUUUUAUUUUUCAAAAACAUAAAGAAUAAAAGUACACACGACCAUUAAUAUGACCGAAUUAGAAUAUGUCAAAAAAAGAAAGAAAUCACCAUUAGAUGAGACAACCAAAUUGAUGCAUGGUGGAGUAAUGAAAUGAUAAUUAAUUGAGAUCGUUGAAUGACGGUAAAAGAAGUUCCAAUAUUUUUUCCUUAAAACAAUAACUAAUAGCAAUAAUGAAUGGAAAAAAUACAUGUUUGGGGUGAAACAGGAACAAAUAAUCAAACACAAUAUAUAGCAUUUUGCUUAUGUACCCUAUUCAAUUUAAAAUUUAAAAUCAUGGAUUUUAAAAACUAAAUCCAAAACUCUAAAAAUUAUAUCUAACCCAAACAAAAAAAGGUUCUAAACCCUGCAAUGUAUGCAUUUCCUGAAUUUAAAAGAUUAGACUAUAUUUUUAAAAUUUUAAAAAUCUUGAUCUCUUAUCAUCUUUCGGUAAUUUAUUUAUGAUUACCAUUACGACGAGCAAUUAAAGGUGGUUUAGGUAUUUGAUUCCCGUUUCGCUUUUUCAGUACGUACGUAUAUUCCCAUGCAUUACGUUCAAGGCCAUGACUAAAUAAAGAAUAUUUUGUUUUGUUUAUCCAUACCCGACUAAGCUAAUUUCCCAGACCCUGCCUUCUCCGACGCCGAUCGUCUCCUUCUGUUAGUAGAGAACCAUUGGAGAAUCAUCUAGUUUACGGGUUAUAUGUGUUUCCAGGUGAAUUCUAAUGGCAAAAAUCUGGUGAGAACGGUUUCUUGUUCUGCAAGCUUGGCGUAAUGAUGCUGCCCUUGAGAUCAGCCUUUUACCAUAUCAAUAGACAGUUACCCUAACUGUGAAAAUAUCUGACUUAUCAAAAUACUCGUGUAACUACGGCUCGGUUAAGAUCUUAUUUUCUUGAGCACAUCAGAUUAGCAGCCGCCUAUGUAGAUGAUGUAUCAUAUAUAUUAGCUCAAAGCCAAAACAGCCACUUAGAUAUUAUCAGAGAAAUAUAUGUGGUGGAGAAACCAGCCUUCAACUAUGAAUAAGUCAAGAUCUUAUCAGUUAGUCAGCUACUAGCAGACACUUAGUGAUUAAUUUGUGGGGUUACGAUCCGUGAUUAUAAGAUGCACAAAUAGAAGACUAAUCCACCUUCACUUCCCUAUAAAUAGAGGCUGUUCUAAACUUUAUUUCUACACACAACACAAUACAUACAUACAUCGAAAACAAAGUAGUACCAAUCAUCAUGGCUAAGUUUGCUUCCAUCAUCACCCUUGUUUUCGCUGCUCUUGUUCUCUUUGCUGCUUUUGGUGAGUAAUCAUCUUAUCAUAUAUGAAAUAGUGUUAUAAAUCUUGUUUCAUUUAUUUUGAUAGUUAACCAUGAGAUAUGUAUACAUAUGCAGAAGCACCAUCGAUGGUGGAAGCACAGAAGUUGUGCGAGAGGUCAAGUGGGACAUGGUCCGGAGUUUGUGGAAACAAUAACGCAUGCAAGAAUCAGUGCAUUAACCUUGAGGGAGCAAAACAUGGAUCUUGCAACUAUCGAUUCCCAUACCACAGAUGUAUCUGUUACUUCCCAUGUUAAUCAACCAAACAUCUUUGGUGGUUAAUCACGUGUGUAUUUUACAUAAAAUAAGUCUGUGUUACUCUAUGAGUAACUUUAUGACAUGCAUGUUUAUGUUUUAAUGUUUGGUUGGACUUUGUUGUUAUAAUUCAUGUACCACCUAAGACUGCAUGCAGUUUCUUGUUUGGUUGGACUUUGUUGUUAUAAUUUAUGUACGACCUUUUUAAGACUAUAUUUUCUUGUUCGUAUUUGUCAGCAGCAGCCGUCACCCAACAGGACCACUCAUUUUUAUGUAUCGAAAUCGAAGUCAUAAAACUAAAGAACAUAAAGAAAAAAAAAGACACACGACCGUUAAAGACCGAAUAAGAAUAUGUCAAAAGAAAAAAAAAAUCAUCAUUCAUAGAAAAAAAUUUAUAUUCUAGGACGUUCACGUUAUAUCACCAUAGCCACGUCAAAACCCCAAUUUAAUAGUUUGAUCAGACAAUUAAUAGAGAGGGUUUUAUGACGGUACGUGGCAAGAGUUAGACAUCCAUUAUUUUUUGGAUUAAUAAGAAUUAUAGUACAUUUUCAAAAAAUAAUUGGGAAAAUAGUACAUAUAUUAUUUAUAAUUAUAAAAAUAGUCAUAUGGACCCACAAUAUGAGAUAGAAGAAAACAUGAGAUAGGAAAAACGAGAGAAAAUAAAAUGACAUGAGGGGCAAUUUUUUUUCUCUGGAUUUUGUUUUUUUUUUUCUUUUUUUUUUCUUUUUUUCUCUUACUUUUAUCACCCCAAAAUUUUUAUAACUAACAUACUAAUUUUUGUAAAAAUAAUAUCAAUAAUAUUUUUAACACAUAAAAAUGUUUUUUUCUCUAUAAUUUGAUAUGCCUUUUGCUAAUAAAUUUUAAAUUUUUUUAUAUAUAAAUAUUUAUUUGUAUAGUUUAGCAUAUGUACAAAUGUUUUUUUUACAAUAGUAUGUGUACAGACGUAUGUACAAAAAUAUCCAUACAUAAAUAUGUACAAACAUAUCCGUACAACUUAUUAAGUGUACGAAUAUAUGUAAAAAUUACUCAUUUUUAUCCGUACAGCUAGUAUAGUAUACCAAAAUAUGCAUAUUUAUAUAUAUUUGUACACUAAUAUGCUGUACGGAUGAUAUUGUGUAAUAAUAUUAUUAUUGUACAAAAACAUAAUUUUGUACGUAUGUACAAUAAAUAUGAUGUACGAAUUAUAUUAUAUAAUUAUUUUAAUGGCAGACUCGUAAAUACUAUGUUUUCUGAGUGUUUAAAUGUCCAUAAAAUAGUAGCAAAUAGUGAUAAUGUACUAGUUUCCUAAUUGUAAAUAGUGUUUGUACUAGUUUUAUAAUUAUUUUUUAAAAAUGUAAUACUUCUCCAACACACCCUUAUUUUUUUAAAAUUAUAUUUUAUUGUAGUUUCUAAUAUUGGGUAGAGAUUUUCAUAGUCUCUCAGUUAUAUUAUUUUAAUAGAUAUAUAAUUUACUUUUUACUAUUUAUUUAAAUUUUAAAUAACAAGAAAAGAUUAAAACCGAUCACAUGAUCUCUCGAAAAGUCUCAUUUGAGAAGUGGUUCUCAUAUCUCUUUUCAAUUUUUUGUUUUAUAUUGUUAAAAAAAAUGGGUGAAGCAAUUAAGAACAUAUAAACAAAAUUAUACUCAGACUCAAACGGAGGUGUCUAAAUUGCUAUAGAGAAUACUGGACGAGCUUUUACAUACAGCAGCCAUAUAUCGUUCUUUUACUUACUUCUUUUAUUUUUUGGUAUUCAUAUUUGUUUGUAUUUGGACUAACUUGUGCAUAUCAAACUAACGUAACGCACAAUAUAUAGCAUUUUGCUUAGGUACCCUGAAUUCAAAACUAAAAACAUGAAUCCUAAACUCUAAGAAAGUUACAUCUAAUCUAAAAAAGAGUUCUAAAUACAACAAAAAGAUGUAUUUUCUGAAUUUUAAAAAAUGGAUCGCUUAUAAUAUUUCCGUAAUUCCUUUGUGCUUUUAUUUUCCUUUGUAACGAAUUUACAGAUUAUACCUUAAGCUCUAUAUCCUCUAAUUUUUGAUGAAAUUCACCGUUAUGAUGAUAGUUAGAAAAUCUACCGCCGAUGAGAGCAACGCACUGAUGAAUCACAUAAUUUACGGUUAAAGGUGUCUCCCGGUGAAAUCUAAUGGCAAAAAAACUAAUAAGAACGGUUUCUUUGUUCUGCAAAUUAACUUGGCGGAACGAUGCUACGUACUCUUGAGAUCAACCAAACAAUAUGUUGAUACAUAUACACUUGCCUAACUGUCAAAAUAUCUGACAUGACAUAUAUCAAAGUACUCUUGUAACUACCGCUUGGUUAACAUCUUAUUUUCUUGAGUCUUGACCACAUCAGAUUAUGCCGCCUAUGUAUAAAUCAUUUGCUCAAAGCCAAAGCAGCCUACUUAGAUAUUAUCAGAAAAAAUAUGUGGUGGAGAAUAACCAGCAGCCAUCAACUAUGAAUAAGUCAAGUUCUUAUCUGUUAAUAUUAGCACUAGAAGACGCUUAGUGUUUAAUUUGUGGGGUUACGAUCUGUAGUUAUAGGAUGCACACAUAUACGACUAACUCACCAUCAUUUCAUUAUAAAUAGACUCUGAUCUUAAGCUUAAUUAGUUCAUCACACAACACAUCAAUACAUACAUACAUUGAAAACAACACAGUUUAAUAAUCAUCAUGGCUAAGUUUGCUUCCAUCAUCCCCCUUAUCUUCGCUGCUCUUGUUCUCUUUGCUGCUUUUGGUGAGUAAUCAUCUUUUUUUUUUAAUGGAAUUAUGGAAAUAAUGUUUUAAAUGUUAUUUUGAUAACUAACCAUGAGAAAUAUAUACACGUAUAUGCAGAAGCACCAUCGAUGGUGGAAGCACAGAAGUUGUGCGAGAGGUCAAGUGGGACUUGGUCCGGAGUCUGUGGAAACAAUAACGCAUGCAAGAAUCAGUGCAUUAACCUUGAGGGAGCAAAACAUGGAUCUUGCAACUAUCGAUUCCCAUACCACAGAUGUAUCUGUUACUUCCCAUGUUAAUCAACCAAAAAUCUUUGGUGGCUAAACGUGUGUGUAUUUUACAUAAAAUAAGUCUGUGUUACUCUCUAUGAGUAACUUUAUGACAUGCAUGUUUAUGUUUUAAUGUUUGGUUGGACUUUGUUGUUACAAUUUAUGUACGACGUUAUAAUUAAGACUCUGUUUCUUCUUGUUCGU